GACACAGGGACAGCUCUGGGGUGUCUGGGACAGGGGGAACAGGAUUUCUGUGGGACACAGGGACAGGUUUGGGGUGUCUGGGACAGGGGGAACAGGAUUUCUGUGGGACACAGGGACAGGUUUGGGGUGUGUGGGACAGGGGGAACAGGAUUUCUGUGGGACACAGGGACAGCUCUGGGGUGUCUGUGGGACAGGGGGACAGAUCUGGGGUGUCU
Long non-coding RNA from Oenanthe melanoleuca, 215 nucleotides. RefSeq lists it as uncharacterized. Lineage: Eukaryota; Metazoa; Chordata; Aves; Passeriformes; Muscicapidae. The transcript is spliced from 3 exons. The record is from RefSeq and is a predicted model, not a curated record.